This is a long non-coding RNA of Ictalurus punctatus (channel catfish), 731 nucleotides long. RefSeq lists it as uncharacterized. The record is from RefSeq and is a predicted model, not a curated record. NCBI's taxonomy places the organism in Eukaryota, Metazoa, Chordata, Actinopteri, Siluriformes, Ictaluridae. The transcript is spliced from 8 exons.
GCUAAAAUAAUAAAACGCGCAUGCGCACCACUUUCUCUCUUUCCAGCAUGUAUCCUGUAAGCGUGGACGUUCUUGAGGGCCGCGGAGUCGCCAAAGCAGAAUGCUUUACUAUGUUACAUCUGGUCAGGAAACUCAGAUGACCAAGGCUAUGAUAAGGAGUGAUAUGGAGACUACAAGAAAUGAACUACUCAGAAGAAGUAACCUGAGUAUGGAUGUCUCAAAACAUGUCUCUUAAGAAGUAUUAGAUCGAGCGUGACAAGUACAGAUUUGAAUUGGCUGCAGUUUGUCACAUCAAGAAACGAACAUGGAUAUUACAAACUGGACAUGGAUCUCCCAGGACAUGGAAACCCAGAUGACUAAGGCUAUGAUAUGGAGACUACAAGAAAUGAACUACUCACAAGAAGUAACCAGGGCAUGAAUGUCUCAAGACAUCUGUUUCUUAAGAAGGUGCCAGCUCCUGGUGCAUAGUUGUAUACAAACUGCAGGAUCUGCUGGUGGAACUCUUCCAAGGUCUGGUCUCGUCUGUGCAGGGACUCCAGGUCAUGCAGAUCACAGGGAAACACCGCAUCAGGUGCAAUAACAAGCGCCGAGGCCCCUGUGUUCCCAAGACACACUCUCAACAUGCUGUAAUAAAAACUGGAUCUUGACUCAUAAAUAAUAGUGAACUAAUAAAGAAGGGAUAAAAGGUGAAUGUUGAAACCUUCAACUGAAAUAAAUGUCUAAAAGUUUGA